This 122-nucleotide ribosomal RNA is filed under the name Sinocyclocheilus anshuiensis. The record is from RNAcentral. Lineage: Eukaryota; Metazoa; Chordata; Actinopteri; Cypriniformes; Cyprinidae.
UUAACCAGCCAUAUCACCCUGUAGCCCAAGACUGGUUACCCAAUGAAGCUAAGCAGGGCUGAGCCUGGUCAGUACCUGGAUGGGAGACCUCCUGGGAAAACGUCUCAGAGGUACUGGGCCAA